GCUUUUGGUUCAGUGGUAGAAUAUCGCCUGCCACGCGGGCGCCCCGGGUUCGAUUCCCGCCCAUGUAUU
This 69-nucleotide transfer RNA is filed under the name Cordylochernes scorpioides. Its description in RNAcentral is "tRNA-Gly". The record is from RNAcentral. Lineage: Eukaryota; Metazoa; Arthropoda; Arachnida; Pseudoscorpiones; Chernetidae.